RNAcentral lists this ribosomal RNA (253 nucleotides) under uncultured bacterium. RNAcentral describes it as "partial 16S ribosomal RNA". It matches the Rfam family "Bacterial small subunit ribosomal RNA", at positions 524 to 776 of the family's 1533-position model. The record is from RNAcentral.
UACGUAGGGGGCAAGCGUUGUCCGGAAUCAUUGGGCGUAAAGAGCGUGUAGGCGGCCCGGUAAGUCCGCUGUGAAAGUCCAGGGCUCAACCCUGGGAUGCCGGUGGAUACUGUCGGGCUCGAGUCCGGAAGAGGAGUGUGGAAUUCCUGGUGUAGCGGUGAAAUGCGUAGAUAUCAGGAGGAACACCGGUGGCGAAGGCGGGUCUCUGGGCAACAACUGACGCUGAGGAGCGAAAGCGUGGGGAGCGAACAGG